UCCAGCUGCACCUCGGCUCCUUGCUUCCUCCGCCUCCCCAUCUCUUUUAAGCCGGUUAGAAACAAAUCAAAAGACUUAUCCUUCAGAAAUCUAGACACGAGGGAAACAGUGCACAGCUAGUCUAACCUGGCUUUAGGAUUUGUUCUGCUCAGAGCACCACCAGGCCUACUUCAUCUGUCUAUGUUCUUCAUUCUGUGCAACAUCAAAACGGAGAAAUAUCCAUCACAUGCAGCUAAACAAGCACUGCCCUCAAGAUAAGCAAGAUUAAAACAAUUACAACUCACCCAGCUCACCGACGCUGAGUAACUGACCGCUGUUCCACCAGCCAUAACUAUAGCUUUGAUUGGAUGAGAGACUGACUCCAGUAACUUUCUCCUGAUAAGAGACCACCGGCCAUGGACUGGUUCUGGCUGGUUUGCAGAAAGUACAUUCAUCCGCCUUCAUGUCCUGAAAAGACCUUUUGAGCAGGCAGAAACUAUGCGCGUGUGUUCCCCGAGUGAUUCUGCACAAGGCCAUCUGCAGCUUGCACAGCUCAGCCCCAGGAGGAUGAGCACAUGAGGCCUGAAAAAAAUCUUGGGAAGAGUGACAGCGGUGGUGUUUCCUCUCCAGGGAUGACACCCUAAAGACUGGGCCCUGUGUGGGGACAAUACAGGGUAAGAAAGCAGAGGCUCCAGCAGGGAGCUCGCCUGGGGCCAUGCUGCAUUCUCAGGCAAGGCAGCUUUUCCAGGGCCAGGAGACCCUUGCUAGCUGCUUGCCAGUCAACUGUUGUCUCCCUUUGGGAACACCACCUCUGCUGCUGGGCUGGACUUCCUCCCAGCACCAGAUGGUGUCAUUGACCACCUGAAACAAACACAGUCGAUACUGCUACAAACACAUCAUGCAGUCUUUUUCCUUUCUGAUGAGAAUUGCACAAAAUCGAAUUGACCACCUGGAACAAAUGCCACCAAUACCAUUAAAAACAUACCAUACAGACCUUUUCGUUUUUAAUGGGAAUUGCAUGAAAUCAGAUUGACUGGAAUGCUUGUGUCUGUGGAGCCUAAGCAUGUGGCAUGCUAUAUAGAUGGUGAAUUCAUCUGCACAUGAGGCCGCACGUUUGACACAUCUCCACCAACAUAGGGAUUGCUUCCCGGCAUGCAUGACUAAUAGUGAGUUGUGAAAAGGAAACUUAACUUAACUAUCAAUAAUAAAAGGGAUUUUCAAUCAACCAUGCUACAGGAAAGAUGGCAUUCUCUUCUGUUCUCUGUAGAAAAGGCAAUAAAAAUCAGUGCCACAUAACAAGGUUAUCAGAGGCUGUAGCAUAGAGGUAUCACAUAGUUAAUUAAUGAAAAUGUUCUCUUAUUUUCUGGGUAUCCCAAGGCUUUAAAAAAUGUAUAACUUGUUACAAGUUUUUGUUGUAAAUACACGUUCAAUUUCAUGUGUGA
This is a long non-coding RNA of Nomascus leucogenys (northern white-cheeked gibbon), 1421 nucleotides long. RefSeq lists it as uncharacterized. The record is from RefSeq and is a predicted model, not a curated record. Lineage: Eukaryota; Metazoa; Chordata; Mammalia; Primates; Hylobatidae. The transcript is spliced from 4 exons.